CAUCAUCUACUGCCUGGAUUUUUGCCUACAACUGCUCCUGCUGCGUUCGCUUAAUCAACGCAAACAUGAAUAGAAAGACUGUGCCUGUCUCUUUAUCAACGUUAAGACAAAGGACACGUGUAGACGUUCAAAAAAGGCUUCAUCAUUGUGGAGCCUCAGCGUCUCCCCAAAGCCCUGUGGCGCCCCCAACGGGAGAAUCCCAACUGCUGUUAACUCAUUUGGUACUUCUGGUCUUUAUUCUGAAAUAAAGUAUUGCAACAUA
Long non-coding RNA from Nerophis lumbriciformis (worm pipefish), 262 nucleotides. RefSeq lists it as uncharacterized. Lineage: Eukaryota; Metazoa; Chordata; Actinopteri; Syngnathiformes; Syngnathidae. The record is from RefSeq and is a predicted model, not a curated record.